This 253-nucleotide ribosomal RNA is filed under the name uncultured prokaryote. Its description in RNAcentral is "partial 16S ribosomal RNA". It matches the Rfam family "Bacterial small subunit ribosomal RNA", at positions 525 to 777 of the family's 1533-position model. The record is from RNAcentral.
ACGAAGGGUGCAAGCGUUACUCGGAAUUACUGGGCGUAAAGGGUGCGUAGGUGGUUUUUUAAGUCUGCUGUGAAAUCCCCGGGCUCAACCUGGGAAUGGCAGUGGAUACUGGAAAGCUGGAGUGCGGUAGAGGGUAGUGGAGUUCCCGGUGUAGCAGUGAAAUGCGUAGAGAUCGGGAGGAACACCAGUGGCGAAGGCGGCUCACUGGACCAUAACUGACGCUGAGGCACGAAAGCUAGGGGAGCAAACAGGA